CACGUAGGGCGCAAGCGUUGUCCGGAAUCAUUGGGCGUAAAGAGCGUGUAGGCGGCCUUACAGGUCAGCUGUGAAAACUCGAGGCUCAACCUCGAGACGUCGGUUGAAACCGUAAGGCUAGAGUCCGGAAGAGGAGAGUGGAAUUCCCGGUGUAGCGGUGAAAUGCGCAGAUAUCGGGAAGAACACCCGUGGCGAAGGCGGCUCUCUGGGACGGUACUGACGCUGAGACGCGAAAGCGUGGGGAGCGAACAGG
RNAcentral lists this ribosomal RNA (253 nucleotides) under uncultured bacterium. RNAcentral describes it as "partial 16S ribosomal RNA". It matches the Rfam family "Bacterial small subunit ribosomal RNA", at positions 524 to 776 of the family's 1533-position model. The record is from RNAcentral.